RNAcentral lists this ribosomal RNA (253 nucleotides) under uncultured bacterium. RNAcentral describes it as "partial 16S ribosomal RNA". It matches the Rfam family "Bacterial small subunit ribosomal RNA", at positions 524 to 776 of the family's 1533-position model. The record is from RNAcentral.
UACAGAGGGUGCGAGCGUUAAUCGGAAUUAUUGGGCGUAAAGCGCACGUAGGCGGCUUUGCAAGUCGGAUGUGAAAUCCCUCGGCUCAACCAAGGAAGUGCAUCCGAAACUGCAGAGCUUGAGUACCAAAGAGGAUCGCGGAAUUCCCGGUGUAGAGGUGAAAUUCGUAGAUAUCGGGAGGAACACCAGUGGCGAAGGCGGCGAUCUGGGUGGAUACUGACGCUGAGGUGCGAAAGCGUGGGGAGCAAACAGG